This 253-nucleotide ribosomal RNA is filed under the name uncultured bacterium. Its description in RNAcentral is "partial 16S ribosomal RNA". It matches the Rfam family "Bacterial small subunit ribosomal RNA", at positions 524 to 776 of the family's 1533-position model. The record is from RNAcentral.
UACGUAGGGGGCGAGCGUUGUCCGGAAUCAUUGGGCGUAAAGCGCGUGUAGGCGGCUCGAUAAGUCUGCUGUGAAAGUCCAGGGCUCAACCCUGGAAUGCCGGUGGAAACUGUCGAGCUUGAGUCCGGAAGAGGCGAGUGGAAUUCCUGGUGUAGCGGUGAAAUGCGCAGAUAUCAGGAGGAACACCAAUGGCGAAGGCGGCUCACUGGCCCGGUACUGACGCUGAGGCGCGAAAGCGUGGGGAGCAAACAGG